Molecule: long non-coding RNA, 2612 nt
Organism: Mytilus californianus (California mussel)
Lineage: Eukaryota; Metazoa; Mollusca; Bivalvia; Mytilida; Mytilidae
Exons: 4
Source: RefSeq, a predicted model, not a curated record
GGUUAUAAAUUAAGUUUGAUCUAAGAUGUUAAGGUGUUUUUAGUUGUAAAUAACGGGGUAUGAUGAUGGAUGUUAGAUGUGGUGGUGUGAUACUAUGUAUAUAAAGGGGUACAAUGAUAGAUGUUAGAUGUGGCGGAGUGAUACUCUGUAUAUAAAUGGGUAGAAUGAUAGAUGUCAGAUGUGGCGGUAUGAAACUCUGUAUAUAAAUGGGUACAAGGAUGGAUGUAAGAUGUGGCGGUGUGAUACUCUGUAUAUAAAGGGGUACAAGGAGGGAUGUUAGAUGUGGCGGUGUGAUACUCUGUAUAUAAAGGGGUACAAGGAUGGAUGUUAGAUGUGGUGGUGUGAUACUCUAUAUAUAAAGGGGUACAAGGAUAGAUGUUAGAUGUGGCGGUGUGAUACUCUGUAUAUAAAUGGAUAAAGGAUGGAUGUAAGAUGUCGCGGUGUGAUACUCUGUAUAUAAAGGGGUGUAAGGAUGAAUGUAAGAUGUGGCGGUGUGAUACUCUGUAUAUAAAGGGGUACAAGGAUGGAUGUUAGAUGUGGUGGUGUGAUACUCUAUAUAUAAAGGGGUACAAGGAUAGAUGUUAGAUGUGGCGGUGUGAUACUCUGUAUAUAAAUGGGUAAAGGAUGGAUGUAAGAUGUCGCGGUGUGAUACUCUGUAUAUAAAGGGGUGUAAGGAUGAAUGUAAGAUGUGGCGGUGUGAUACUCUGUAUAUUAAGGGGUACAAGGAUGGAUGUUAGAUGUGGUGGUGUGAUACUCUGUAUAUAAAGGGGUACAAGGAUAGAUGUUAGAUGUGGCGGAGUGAUACUCUGUAUAUUAAGGGGUACAAGGAUGGAUGUUAGAUGUAAUGGUGUGAUACUCUGUAUAUAAAGGGGUACAAGGAUGGAUGUUAGAUGUAGCGGUAUGAUACUCUGUAUAUAAAGGGGUACAAGGAUAGAUGUUAGAUGUGGCGGUAUGAUACACUGUAUAUAAAGGGGUACACGGAUAGAUGUUAGAUGUGGCGGUAUGAUACUCUGUAUAUAAAAGGGUACAAUGAUGGAUGUUAGAUGUGUUGGAGUGAUACUCUGUAUAUAAAGGGGUACGAGGAUGGAUGUUAGAUGUGGCGGUGUGAUACUCUGUAUAUAAAGGGGUACAAGGAUGGAUGUUAGAUGUGGUGGUGUGAUACUCUGUAUAUAAAUGGGUAAAGGAUGGAUGUAAGAUGUCGCGGUGUGAUACUCUGUAUAUAAAGGGGUGUAAGGAUGAAUGUAAGAUGUGGCGGUGUGAUACUCUGUAUAUAAAGGGAUACAAGGAUGGAUGUCAGAUGUGGCGGUGUGAUACUCUGUAUAUAAAGGGGUACAAGGAUGGAUGUUAGAUGUGGCGGUGUGAUACUCUGUAUAUAAAGGGGUACAAGGAUGGAUGUAAGAUGUGGUGGUGUGAUACUCUGUAUAUAAAGGGAUACAAGGAUGGAUGUCAGAUGUGGCGGCGUGAUACUCUGUAUAUAAAGGGGUACAAGGAUAGAUGUUAGAUGUGGUGAUGUGAUACUCUGUAUAUAAAGGGGUACAAGGAUGGAUGUUAGAUGUGGCGGUAUGAUACUAGUACUCUGUAUAUAAAGGGGUACAAGGAUAGAUGUUAGAUGUGGCGGUGUGAUACUCUGUAUAUAAAGGGGUACAAGGAUGGAUGUUAGAUGUGGUGGUGUGAUACUCUGUAUAUAAAGGGGUACAAGGAUAGAUGUUAGAUGUGGCGGAGUGGUACUCUGUAUAUAAAGGGGUACAAGGAUGGAUGUUAGAUGUAAUGGUGUGAUACUCUGUAUAUAAAGGGGUACAAGGAUGGAUGUUAGAUGUAGCGGUAUGAUACUCUGUAUAUAAAGGGGUACAAGGAUAGAUGUUAGAUGUGGCGGUAUGAUACUCUGUAUAUAAAAGGGUACAAUGAUGGAUGUUAGAUGUGUUGGAGUGAUACUCUGUAUAUAAAGGGGUACGAGGAUGGAUGUUAGAUGUGGUGGUGUGAUACUCUGUAUAAAAAGGGGUACAAGGAUGGAUGUAAGAUGUGACGGUGUGAUACUCUGUAUAUAAAGGGGUACAAGGAUUGAUGUUAGAUGUGGUGGUGUGAUGCUCUGUAUAUAAAGGGGUACAAGGAUGGAUGUUAAAUGUGGCGGUAUGAUACUCUGUAUAUUAAGGGGUAUACGGAUGGAUGUUAGAUGUGGUGGUGUGAUGCUCUGUAUAUAAAAGGGUGCAAUGAUGGAUGUUAGAUGCGGUACGUGGUGUGAUGCUCUGUAUAUAAAGGGGUACAAGGAUGGAUGUUAGAUGUGGUGGUGUGAUGCUCUGUAUAUUAAAGGGGUACAAGGAUGGAUGUUAGAUGUGGUGGUGUGAUACUCUGUAUAUAAAGGGGUACAAGGAUGGAUUGAAGAUGUGGCGGUGUGAUACUCUGUAUAUAAAGGGGUACAAGAAUUGAUGUUAUAUGUGGCGGUGUUAUACUCUGUAUAUAAAGGGGUACAAGGAUGGAUGUAAGAUGUGGCGGUGUGAUACUCUGUAUAUAAAGGGGUCCAUGAUAUAUGUUAGAUGUGGCGGUGUAGUAAGUUGUAUUUAACGGGGUACAAUGACAAAUAUGAUAUGUGACAGUGACAUAAGUUGUAUAUAACA